Molecule: ribosomal RNA, 411 nt
Filed under: uncultured bacterium
Lineage: Bacteria
Description: bacterial SSU rRNA
Rfam family: Bacterial small subunit ribosomal RNA
Source: RNAcentral
UGGCGAACGGGUGAGUAACACGUGAGAAACCUGCCCCGAAGACCGGGAUAACCCGGGGAAACCCGGACUAAUACCGGAUACCCCUGCUGAAUCGCAUGAUUCGGCAAGGAAAUGGUCAGCCGCUUCGGGAGGGUCUCGCGACCUAUCAGCUUGUUGGUGAGGUAACGGCUCACCAAGGCAUCGACGGGUAGCUGGUCUGAGAGGACGAUCAGCCACACUGGGACUGAGACACGGCCCAGACUCCUACGGGAGGCAGCAGUAGGGAAUCUUGCGCAAUGGGCGAAAGCCUGACGCAGCAACGCCGCGUGGGGGAAGAAGGCUCUCGGGUUGUAAACCCCUUUCAGCAGGGACGAAAUUGACGGUACCUGCAGAAGAAGGUCCGGCCAACUACGUGCCAGCAGCCGCGGUAAC